RNAcentral lists this ribosomal RNA (492 nucleotides) under uncultured bacterium. RNAcentral's name for it is "partial 16S ribosomal RNA". It matches the Rfam family "Bacterial small subunit ribosomal RNA", at positions 29 to 507 of the family's 1533-position model. The record is from RNAcentral.
AGUGAACGCUGGCGGUAGGCCUAACACAUGCAAGUCGAACGGCAGCACAGUAAGAGCUUGCUCUUACGGGUGGCGAGUGGCGGACGGGUGAGGAAUACACCGGAAUCUACUUUUUCGUGGGGGAUAACGUAGGGAAACUUACGCUAAUACCGCAUACGACCUACGGGGGAAAGCAGGCGAUCUUCGGACCUUGCGCGAUUGAAUGAGCCGAUGUCGGAUUAGCUAGUUGGCGGGGUACAGGCCCACCAAGGCGACGAUCCGUAGCUGGUCUGAGAGGAUGUUCCGCCACACUGGGACUGAGACACGGUCCAGAGUCCGACGGGAGGCAGCAGUGGGGAAUAGUGGUCAAUGGGGCAAAGCCUGUGCCAGCCAUAGCGGGUUGGUGAUGAAGCUCUUCUGGUUGUAAAGUCGAGCAGUGGGGAAAGAAAAGCAUCUGGUUAAUACCCCGCGGUUCUGACGGUACGCAAAGAAUAAGCACCGGCUAACUUCGUG